This 610-nucleotide ribosomal RNA is filed under the name Gallus gallus murghi. RNAcentral's name for it is "partial 16S ribosomal RNA". It matches the Rfam family "Bacterial large subunit ribosomal RNA", at positions 1797 to 2619 of the family's 2925-position model. The record is from RNAcentral. Lineage: Eukaryota; Metazoa; Chordata; Aves; Galliformes; Phasianidae.
CGCCUGUUUACCAAAAACAUAGCCUUCAGCUAACAACAAGUAUUGAAGGUGAUGCCUGCCCAGUGACCCCCAAAGUUCAACGGCCGCGGUAUCCUAACCGUGCGAAGGUAGCGCAAUCAAUUGUCCCGUAAAUUGAGACUUGUAUGAAUGGCUAAACGAGGUCUUAACUGUCUCCUGUAGGUAAUCUAUGAAAUUAGUAUUCCCGUGCAAAAACGAGAAUGUGAACAUAAGACGAGAAGACCCUGUGGAACUUUAAAAUCACGACCACCUUACAACCUUACACAGCCCCACUGGGUCCACCCACACAUAAACCCCUGGUCGACAUUUUUCGGUUGGGGCGACCUUGGAGAAAAAAAAAUCCUCCAAACCCACAGACCACAACUCUUCACUAAGACCAACUCCUCAAAGUACCAACAGUAACCAGACCCAAUAUAAUUGAGCAAUGGACCAAGCUACCCCAGGGAUAACAGCGCAAUCUCCUCCAAGAGCCCAUAUCGACAAGGAGGUUUACGACCUCGAUGUUGGAUCAGGACAACCUAAUGGUGCAACCGCUAUUAAGGGUUCGUUUGUUCAACGAUUAACAGUCCUACGUGAUCUGAGUUCAGACCGG